GAGCUGUCAAGGGUGCCAGAGCCGGCAGCCCGGAAGAUCAGCCACAAUCCGAUCGUGCAGCCGACGUAAACGAAGACGUAGUAGUAAACGAAGACGUAGGCGAGAACGAAACGCGCAACGGUCGUCGUAGUUCGGUGGUCCAUCGCUGGAUUGUGCCAUGCCAUAUAAAUGUAGGCGGCGACGAAUGCGAUGGCGUAGGGAAUGAGUGCGGUUUUGAUUCGUUUCCACAGUAUCACCCGCCCGGAGAGAG
RNAcentral lists this unclassified non-coding RNA (250 nucleotides) under Hevea brasiliensis (rubber tree). Lineage: Eukaryota; Viridiplantae; Streptophyta; Magnoliopsida; Malpighiales; Euphorbiaceae. The record is from RNAcentral.